Molecule: non-coding RNA, 79 nt
Organism: Tilletia controversa (dwarf bunt fungus)
Lineage: Eukaryota; Fungi; Basidiomycota; Exobasidiomycetes; Tilletiales; Tilletiaceae
Source: Rfam
GGGGCUGUAGCGCAGGGGUAGCGCGCUUCCUUCGCAUCAAGAUAGGAAGAGGCCGUGAGUUCGAAUCUUACCUGCUCCA